This is a long non-coding RNA of Salvelinus namaycush (lake trout), 242 nucleotides long. RefSeq lists it as uncharacterized. The transcript is spliced from 4 exons. The record is from RefSeq and is a predicted model, not a curated record. NCBI's taxonomy places the organism in Eukaryota, Metazoa, Chordata, Actinopteri, Salmoniformes, Salmonidae.
CUAAUAAAACUAUUACAUUUAAGUAACAGCAGUGUAUCUCACUAAGAUUACUCUAUUUUCACUGCAUCAGGGCUAAAGAGCAAGGACCCGCAUGAUCAACAGCCAGUAAAAUGAAAAGAUUACUCCAUCUUCUCUGUGGGCCAACAGGGGGUUGCACAGCCCCCUCCAGCCCAGCAGAAUAAGACAACCUCCCCCCGCAAAGAUGUCUCUAUAUUUGCAGCUGGGAAAAAUCGUUUGGCUAA